RNAcentral lists this ribosomal RNA (484 nucleotides) under uncultured bacterium. RNAcentral describes it as "partial 16S ribosomal RNA". It matches the Rfam family "Bacterial small subunit ribosomal RNA", at positions 29 to 507 of the family's 1533-position model. The record is from RNAcentral.
AUUGAACGCUGGCGGCAUGCUUUACACAUGCAAGUCGAACGGCAGCGCGGGCUUCGGCCUGGCGGCGAGUGGCGAACGGGUGAGUAAUACAUCGGAACGUGCCCAGUAGUGGGGGAUAGCUCGGCGAAAGCCGGAUUAAUACCGCAUACGACCUGAGGGUGAAAGCGGGGGAUCUUCGGACCUCGCGCUAUUGGAGCGCCCGAUGGCAGAUUAGCUAGUUGGUGGGGUAAAGGCCUACCAAGGCGACGAUCUGUAGCUGGUCUGAGAGGACGACCAGCCACACUGGGACUGAGACACGGCCCAGACUCCUACGGGAGGCAGCAGUGGGGAAUUUUGGACAAUGGGCGAAAGCCUGAUCCAGCAAUGCCGCGUGUGUGAUGAAGGCCUUCGGGUUGUAAAGCACUUUUGGCGGGAACGAAAAGGACUGUGCCAAUACCACGGUUCGAUGACGGUACCCGCAGAAUAAGCACCGGCUAACUACGUG